Molecule: long non-coding RNA, 883 nt
Organism: Aethalodelphis obliquidens (Pacific white-sided dolphin)
Lineage: Eukaryota; Metazoa; Chordata; Mammalia; Artiodactyla; Delphinidae
Exons: 2
Source: RefSeq, a predicted model, not a curated record
CUGCGCGGGUCCCGCGCUUUGCGGGAGGAAGUUCUGAGGCGGGUACGGACUCCUAGGUGCAGUUGAGGACCCAAUUCCAAGGAAUAUUUUAGUUUCAAGCGUUGAAAGGGGAGGAGAGGAGGACCAUUUACCACAUCUAGGAAAGCGACCCUCUGACGUGCCCAAGGGGGCUGGCCAAGCUUGUACAAAGAAUCUUCAACUCAAGGUCUAAAGGGCUGCAGCUGCUUGAAGGACCAGCUCACCAACUCCCAAGGGAACUCCAGAAGGCCUCUAAACUGGGAAAGGAAGGACCAGGGAGAGGCUAGCAGAACUUUGUGAAUUGGCAUUGCUUAGUCCAGUGCUCACUGACUUUUUCAAGGCAACACCUGGCUGCUUUUCCCUGGCAGCUUGGCCGCAGCGCAAGAGUGUGCCUUCUGAAGCCACUCCCAUGGCCUCUGGGGAUGGAUGACACAACCAAGCUGUGUUCCGACAGGAAACUGGAUCCAAGCCUCUCUCUCCUCCCCAGCACACUGGACUGCAUUGAGCCAUCUUUCAGUGCAGCAAAGUUUGGUAGCACCUUGCUCAUGGCAACCUGGCAGCACUCUCCCCCAGGACAGAGACCAGCAAGUAUCCUGAUGUUCAGGUCACUGCUGUGCUUCAACCUUCUAAAUAGAUACAUCGUGAAGAUCCUUCUCCUCUUCCCCAAGGUCUUGUGUCCCACUGCUCUCUGGAGCAGUCCUUCCCCUCCAGGGCCUAGCCUUUUGUCUUGGGCUCAGUGCCAGGAAUAGAUGAAGAGUUCCCAUCCAGGUACCAAAUUGGGGGCUAAAAGGAAAAAUCAGAACCUGGACUGGGUGUUGGAGGCUUCUGAUUAUAAGUAAUAGCUAUAUUAAAAUUUUUAAUAAUA